CCUACGGGAGGCAGCAGUGAGGAAUAUUGGUCAAUGGGCGAGAGCCUGAACCAGCCAAGUCGCGUGAGGGAGUACUGCCCUAUGGGUUGUAAACCUCUUUUGUCGGGGAGCAAAAGCCGGACGUGUCCGGAUUUGAGAGUACCCGAAGAAAAAGCGUCGGCUAACUCCGUGCCAGCAGCCGCGGUAAUACGGAGGAUGCGGGCGUUAUCCGGAUUUAUUGGGUUUAAGGGGUGCGCAGGCGGAUUUUUAAGUGAGGGGUCAAAUCGUGGGGCUCAACCCCAUCCAGCCGUGGAGACUGGGGAUCUAGAGUGUGAUAGAGGUAUGCGGAAUGCGUGGUGAAGCGGUGAAAUGCAUAGAUAUAACGCAGAACCCCGAGGGCGAAGGCAGCAUACCGGUGCAAAACUGACGCUCAGGCACGAAAGCGUGGGUAUCGAACAGGAUUAGAUACCCCAGUAGUC
RNAcentral lists this ribosomal RNA (458 nucleotides) under uncultured bacterium. RNAcentral describes it as "partial 16S ribosomal RNA". It matches the Rfam family "Bacterial small subunit ribosomal RNA", at positions 338 to 795 of the family's 1533-position model. The record is from RNAcentral.